AGCUUUGCACGGUGGCAGUAUUGUAACUAAUGAGGUUUAUCCGAGGCACGAUUAUUGCUAAUUGAAAGAAAAAAUAAU
This is a non-coding RNA of Myotis brandtii (Brandt's bat), 78 nucleotides long. The record is from Rfam. Lineage: Eukaryota; Metazoa; Chordata; Mammalia; Chiroptera; Vespertilionidae.